This 460-nucleotide ribosomal RNA is filed under the name uncultured bacterium. Its description in RNAcentral is "partial 16S ribosomal RNA". It matches the Rfam family "Bacterial small subunit ribosomal RNA", at positions 338 to 795 of the family's 1533-position model. The record is from RNAcentral.
CCUACGGGUGGCAGCAGUGAGGAAUAUUGGUCAAUGGACGCAAGUCUGAACCAGCCAUGCCGCGUGCAGGAAGACGGCUCUAUGAGUUGUAAACUGCUUUUGUACGAGGGUAAACGCAGAUACGCGUAUCUGUCUGAAAGUAACGUACGAAUAAGGAUCGGCUAACUCCGUGCCAGCAGCCGCGGUAAUACGGAGGAUUCAAGCGUUAUCCGGAUUUAUUGGGUUUAAAGGGUGCGUAGGCGGUCGGAUAAGUUAGAGGUGAAAUCCCGGGGCGCAACUUCGGAAUUGCCUUUGAUACUGGUAGGCUAGAGAGUAGUUGAGGUAGGCGGAAUGUAUGGGGUAGCGGUGAAAUGCUUAGAGAUCAUAAAGAAAACCGAUUGCGAAGGCAGCUUACCAAGCUACUUCUGACGUUGAGGCACGAAAGCGUGGGGAGCAAACAGGAUUAGAUACCCGUGUAGUC